RNAcentral lists this ribosomal RNA (452 nucleotides) under uncultured marine bacterium. RNAcentral's name for it is "bacterial SSU rRNA". It matches the Rfam family "Bacterial small subunit ribosomal RNA", at positions 360 to 804 of the family's 1533-position model. The record is from RNAcentral.
AAUCUUGCGCAAUGGGGGAAACCCUGACGCAGCAACGCCGCGUGAGUGAAGAAGGCUUUCGGGUCGUAAAGCUCUGUCAGGUGGGAAGAAAUAUCUAGUGCAAAUAACACUAGGAGCUGACGGUACCACCAGAGGAAGCACCGGCUAACUCCGUGCCAGCAGCCGCGGUAAUACGGAGGGUGCAAGCGUUGUUCGGAAUUACUGGGCGUAAAGAGCGUGUAGGCGGUUGAUUAAGUCAGAUGUGAAAGCCCUUGGCUCAACCGAGGAAGUGCAUCUGAAACUGAUCAACUUGAGUACGGGAGAGGAGAGUGGAAUUCCUGGUGUAGAGGUGAAAUUCGUAGAUAUCAGGAGGAACACCGGUGGCGAAGGCGACUCUCUGGACCGAUACUGACGCUGAGACGCGAAAGCGUGGGGAGCAAACAGGAUUAGAUACCCUGGUAGUCCACGCCGUA